Molecule: long non-coding RNA, 9392 nt
Organism: Homo sapiens (human)
Lineage: Eukaryota; Metazoa; Chordata; Mammalia; Primates; Hominidae
Exons: 4
Source: RefSeq, a predicted model, not a curated record
GUGAUGAAUGUUACCAGGACUGGGUCCUUCCCUUAAAGGCAGCAGGUUCCCUUCUGGCCCAAGGGUGUGUCUAGGAAAGUCAUCCAGGAACUAGGGCUUGGAAUGGGGGCCUCACAACUCUGAGGGCUGUCCUGUCCCUGUCCUGCUGGGACUGAGGUGGUAUCCAGGAGGCAAGACUAUGCGCUUCCCACUCUACCCUCUCCACUCCUAAAGGGGAGGGAGAGAUCUCUUUUGGACCAUGAACUGUGAAGCCUGGGGUUAGGUUAGGAAAGGGUUGAUGCCAGCACUCCCUUAGCUACCCCAGCUGGUGUCUCAAUAGGUCACAUGUCCUCUGCACCCAAACAAGUCCUCUGGCUUUGGGCCCAGUUCAGCACUGGGACUUGCCUAGGAGUUACAGUGCUUGUGUCCUAGACUGCCUUUUGAGUUUAUUUAGAGCCCCAUAGCACUUCAACCUGCAGUGGCAAGCCUCUCGGGAACUCAAAUUCUGACCAUUGGGAUCAGUGGUUCCCCUCUGGCUAGGGCUGGUUUAAAUACUCCCUCUGUAGGCAGGUGUCAGCUGAGUGCGGUCCGGUUUUCCUUUCUGCUAUAACAGGAAAGCACACUGAGUUCAAUGCCUCACAAUUGCUGGCUCUCCCUCUCUCCAAAGCACAGAAAUGCUCUUUGCACCACACCAUCACUGCCAGGGGAUGGAGGAGGGGUUGCACUGGUGAUUCAAGACUGUCCUACUUCUUCAGUGCCUCCUUCAGUGAUAUGAAGCCAAAACCAGACCAGGAAACUUUUUCAGCUUUGUGACUGAGAGACAGCCAGCCUUUCAGCUGGGUGAGCUUUCCAGUUGCAUGAGAAAGAGCUUCAUAAGAAACCACCUACACUCUUCCCAUCCAAAAAAAUAGAAAAAAAGAAAGAGAAGAAUAUAAAAAGAAUUGCUUCUCCUCCAAAAAUACAGCUCCUAGGUGCUGCUGAAAUGAGUGAGCAGGGUAAUUGAUGAGAGUUUGGGAGCUGGGAGAGCAGUGAGCUGAUGCUUGGAGCCUUGCCGCGAUCGGACACAGUAGGUUGAUUUUCCCCUCAACAUGCAGGACCAUACCUAACGAUUCCUUACAACAAAACAGAAUACAAAGUAAAGAGGAUUUGACACACAGCAAUUCCUACCAUCCUCUUGGCCCCCCAGCCCGGGAUAUUGAAGCCAAAGUUGAAUUUGAAAAGCACAUUUUCCCAAACUCCUAUUUUAAAAGCAGACACUAUCUUAAUGGCACAGUGAUAACAAUUAUAUUCAGUUAUUUUUUCUUCGAUCCUGCCAAAGAGAUGCUUGGGAAAAGCAAAGAUUUUUAACAUCUGGCUUGCCUGAACAGAAUUCGUACUUCAGUGAAGAAUGCUACAUUAUGAAGACUUCUCUUUCAAUUCUUUUAGUUUCUGGAUAUCAAUGAAGAUAUCACCACUAAUGAAAGUGGUAAAUCUGGGGAAGAUUACUCAGAGUGGCAAGAUUGCAACAUUUUUCCCAGGGAUUUUUAGGGACCCUCUCAACUAAACAAAUAGCAGUAAAGAAGAAUCACAUUUUAAAAUAUCCUUCUAAUGUACUCCAUUUUAAAUAUAUACACCUACUGUGUACCCAUGAAAAUUUUAAAAAAAAUUUUAAGUAUCCUUCCAGAGGUUUUGUGGAAAGGUGGGGUUUUAUUUUCUAAUAUCACAAAUAUUACUUGUUGAUUCAAGCCAGUCAUCUAGCCAGUUAUAGCAACUUCUCAAAGCUAUUUUAGGAAGAAAUUUUUGCUUCUUGUCAUCUUCCCACCAAAGAUAAGUUCUGGAGAAGUUCAUACGCUAUUAACUAUGACAAUAACUGAGACCUCAAUUUACAUUUUUCUCCUUGCUCCAAACUCAUUCCUGGGUCACCAGAAUAGACAUAGAUAUGAAUGUGUAGGCUCCAUGAGGACCACACCAGGCAGGAUACAAAAACACUGGAGUGUAUCAGGAGAAGUGAUUUGCCCUCCUCCUACCUGCCAAAGGUGGUGAUUUAGAAGUGAUUUAGGAGUAAGACUGGGGAGACUUCUUGAAGACAUCUUGGGAUAUUAGAGUCAUUCUAUUCACACCCUCGCUCCUUGAGAAAGGGGAUCAUUUGCCAUGGUCCCUCAUAGAGAGGAUCCCUAGAGACAAUCCCGCAAAGCUCAAGGGUACAUCUGAACAUAGGGACUGGCCCCAGUUUCUCGUUUGGAGUGUGCCAAGUGACAGAACCCAUUGGCACAUGCCAAGCCCCACGCAAAGGCCACCAGAGAGCUUUGGACAUAGGCAGAGGGCCUCAGAAAGGGGGGCAGAACAAGUCAGGAGAGGGCACAAAUCACCUCCCAGUUCUUCAAACACCCAAGGUGGUUGUAAUAGGGAGUCUAAGAUUCUUGGGGCCCGAGAGGCCCCAUAAGAUGGCUGACUGGCUGGUUGAAUUCUAAGCAAACUUCCGUUCCCUGGACACACAGGAAGCAAAGGGACUCAGUAGUAAUAUUAGUCUCAGGCUAAAGGGUCCCCUGUCCUGGACCCCAUGCUUUACAGGGUCCUGCCUUUGCCAACAAAUACAUUUACUAAAGAACACGCAUUGCUGCCAUUCUGGGUCUGAGAUCAGAGCUCAGAGCUGGCACAGACCAACCUAAAACUCUAAAUAUUUGCUCUCCCAGCUGACAUUAUGCAGGCCCCAGGGAAAUCUCCACUUGCAUUAGAUCCUGUAAAUAAAAGAUGUUAUAUGCAAAACUCUGAAGGUUUAUGGGCUGUGCUGCUACAGAGGCUGCUUUGGAGUGUGAAGAGGAUAGCAGUAUUGUUCAUAUUAUGCUUAAAUAUGUAUAUAUGUAGGUUUAGUUAUAUGCCUGAAGCAUAAUUCCUGUUCUUUACUAUGGCAAUUUGAUGGACAUUAAAUCCUAGAAUUGCAAAUAGUUUUUUUUUUAUAAAAUAGGCUUUUUAAUUUUAAUAAAUCUUGAAUAUUUGACAUGAAAUCUUAAUUAUUCAGAAAUGUAGGAAAAGUAAAUUUAUUUAUAUUUGUUUACUCCAAUUUAAAUUUUCUUAAUGCAUUCAAAUUGCAUAUAUUUUUAAUAUAAUUACAUUUAAUUUUUAAUCCAUUUGAUCACUGCUGACACAAGAAUACAAGUUAUAUAUGAAAAUAUUAAUUUUAUCAACACAAUUAGUGACUUUGCUAGAAAUGACCAAAAAAUUUUGAUUCUAGCAAGUAAGUACAUACUAAUUUCUGAAUUAUUACUCAUCCAAACAUUGCCAGCCCAUGAAGAGAAUGCCCAGGUACAUGCAAUACAAAUUAAAUUCAAUAGUCUUUGAUAUUUUGCUAAUUCUGGGCUUUAUAUAUAUUUUUCUAAUUUGUCCUCAUAAAGGUAUGUGUGUCAAGUGAGGAUGACAGGACAUAUUUCAUUUAGCAAUUUGUUAGUUUGAUUUAUAAUUCUAAAAAAUAUAUACUUAGGGAAUGGGGUCUCCAUUUGCUCCAUGCCUUGUAAAGUUUGGGUGGACAUGAAGGAAUCCCAUCUGUAGAGGCUCACGGUAGACCACUAUCCUGAGACUGGAUGAAGCCGAAGUGAAUGUCAAAAUGCCAUAGGCAUCCAAGGAUCACUGAGCCAGCAGGUGGUACCCAUCGACCAGACUGGGUGAUGAUAUUGGCAGCUGGAAUCAGCAGAGAGGUGACUGAAAUCAGCUAUUCCACUUCCACCUGCCCCACUGCCUGCACCAGUCAGCUCAUUCUUCCUCAUCUUCCCCUCUCCCUGCUGCCUUCACAAGAAGUCAAACAUGAGAUUCCUUCCCUGGAAAUUCACCAAGAGUUGAAUGCAGUUUGAAUUGCAGUUGAAUGCAGGGAGUGAAGGCAGUGUGAAGAGAGAAUUUUGAACUGGAUAGUAAUUGAAAUGAUAAUACUUGAAUUUGACUACAGAUAUAUUACAUUAAACCAGUGCUUAACAGAUUGCAGUAUUUUCCUGCUAUAGAACAUGAGUGGGAACUUAUAAAAGAAAAAUGGGCACCAAAAUGAAGUGUUUCAUGUUUGCUGAUAUUUGGGUUCUUCUAAUGCCUACCUUCUACUGGUAGCACCAUGCCAGAAAAUAGGACACUUUUUUAAUUGUUGAAAUCAUCAAAGAUAGAAGGAUUGGGAUUAUUCAUUUGUUGGCUUGAUGCAGUGACUUGUAAUUCUAGCUGCACGAUAGAAUAACUGAGAGCUUUAAAAAUGUUUCAAUUUCCAAUUUUGCCCCAUCCCAGAAUAAUUGAGUGUGAAUCUCUCUGUGUACAGAUUCUAUAUGUCUUAAAAGCAACCCUAGUGAUUCUAAUGAGAAAAUGGUGUUGUAACCCACAGGAGAUACCUGCUUGGUCAAUUGUUUGCCACUUUUGUGUCUGUGCUGUCAGAUAUUCACAGAUUCACCAGUUAAUGCUGUACUCUUUCCUCUUUCCCUAGCUGUGUUGUCAUGGUCCAAGACCCUGCCUCAGGUGCCUUGCACAAGAGCUUGUUUACUGAGGGGUAUGUGACAGCCACAUCAGUGACCUGGGGAAAUUAGCCUGUGUCAAAGCCAAUUAGUCACACUGUUUCCACUUUAAUAAAGGAGAUCAAUUAAGAGGAGAGCUGCACUGGAAAAUUCCCAGGCCUGCCAGACCUAGGGUGUUAUGUUGUUAGGCACCAAAUUCAUUCAUUCACUCAACAACCAUAUAUUUAGUGCCAGCUAUGUGCUGGACACUGGAAAUAAAAUGAUAAAUACAGAUACAACAACAACAACAACUUUCAAAGCACUCUCAGUUUUUUAUCACCUCGGAAAUCAAUUUCUCACCUGCCUAUUUUUUAAAAAAUUGCCUUCUCUCUUGCAUUGUUUCUGAUAUGGAAUCUUGUUAUCUUUAUCUUUACUCUUCUGUAUAUAGCAUGUGUUUUCUCUCAGACUGCUUUUAAGACUUUAAAAGCCCCUGAAUUUCAACGACUCUUUUCUAGACUUUGGAAUUUGAGAGGUCAGUAAUCUUUUUAGUUAGAAGAGUUACCAGUUUUAAUUGUGCAAGGUAAAAAACAAAAUGAAAGAUUUUUUGACACACAAAAAGUAGCAAAUAGAUCAUCUCAGUAUAAGGAAUUGCAAUUUAAAUUAAAUAAAUUUAGCUUCAUGAAAAACUAUACAAUUUUUUUCUCCUUUUGCUGCUUCCUAACAAGCAGUUGUUUGAAACCUUCCUUACUUCCUUUUUCCUUUCUUGUUUAAAGCUUGCUUUCUUUGUUUCUUUCUUUGUUUCUUUGUUUCUUUCUUUCUUCCUUUUUUCUUUUCUCUUUUUUCCCUUUCUUUUUCUUUCUAAUGAGCAGUACCUGUUCUCAUUCUCCAAAUAAAUAUUCUAUGAUCAAAUUACACUUCCAGCCAAGAUAGAGAAAAAGACCAGAUUUACCCUCUCACCUUAACCAAUAAAUUUUAGAAGUAUAUGAAACAAUGGUUUUCAGGACACUGGAUAUCAGACAAAAACAGUGAUUCCUGAAAGACAGGAGAUGAAUGAGGUGAGUCCUGUGAUUACCCCGGUUUAAUGUUUUGAGAGAGAGUCCAGUCUGUAGUGCAGGGGGGAAGAACCCAAGUCGAGCCUGGAAGACUCCCUGACUAGAAAUAGAGCUAAAAGUUGGGAGUGAAUAAAGUGACAAGAGUCACUGGAAUGUCUACCAGGCAAGAUAUCUGAAGAUCUGUAACUCCCUUUGAGUUUUAAGCUGAGCAAUAAUUAGCACAUGCAUGGAAGGAAACUACCUGAGGCCAGGAACAGAAUCACCUGGAAGGACAGAGGUAACAGUGUCUGGCAUUCACACAGAGUCAACAUAGUGCCUGUACCCAGAAAUCACACUGGAAAACCUCAUGUUUCAUAAGGCAUUUGGUAGAAUACUCAGAAAGGUCUUGUCUUGGUAAUGGGGGAUAAUUAGCCCUGUAAUACGAGGACUGCUCUCGUCCCAUUUAAUAAAUCAUGAAACCAAAACCUGAAAGGAUUGAACUAUUUUCACAUACAUUAACUGUGUCCCAGAACAAAGCUGAUUUGGUUUGGCUGUAUCUCCACCCAAAUCUCAUCUUGAACUGUAGUUCCCAUGAUCCCUACAUGUCAUGGGAGGGACCCAGUGGGAGGUAAUUUAAUCAUGGGGGCCGUUACUCCCAUGCUUUUCUCAUGAUUGUGAGUGAGUUCUAUGAGAUCUGAUGGUUUAUGAGGGGCUUUUCCCCUUUUGCUUGGCACUUUUCCUUGCUGCUGCCAUGUGAAGAGGGAUAUGUUUGCUUCUCCUUCCACCAUGAAUGUAAGUUUCCUGAGGCAUCCCCACCCCUGCAGAACUGUGACUCAAUUAAACCUCUUUCCUUUAUAAAUUACUCAGUCUUGGAUAUGUCUUUAUUAGCAGCAUGAAAAUGAACUAAUACAAAAACACAAGAAUAUUUACAGAGAUAUAAAGCUUGCAACAAGGUAAAAUUCCCAAUCGCUUUGCGUUUAUACUGAGUAAUGGGAUUGCUGGGUCAAAUGGUAUUUCUGGUGCUAGAUCUUUGAGGAAUCACCACACCAUCUUUCACAAUGGUUGAACUAAUUUCCAUUCCCACCAACAAUGUAAAAGCAUUCCUAUUUCUCUGCAACCUUGCCAGCAUCUGCCAGUCACCAUUCUGACCGGGAUGAGAUGUUAACUCAUUGUGGUUUUUAUUUGUAUUUCUCUAAUAAUCAGUGAUGUUGAGCUUUUUUUCAUAUGUUUAUUGGCUACAUGAAUGUCUUCUUUUGAGAAGUGUCUAUUUAUAUCUCUGUCCAUCAACAAUAGACUAGAUAAGGAAAAUGUGGUACAUAUACACCGUGGAAUACUAUGCAGCCAUAAAAAGGAAUGAGAUCAUGUCCUUUGCAGGGACAUGGAUGAAGAUGGAAGCCAUUAUCCUCAGCAAACUAACGCAGGAACAGAAAACCAAACACCGCAUAUUCUCACUUAUAAGUGGGAGCUGACCAAUGAGAACACAUGGACACAGGGAGGGGAACAAUACACACUGGCGCCUGUUGAGGGUUGGGGUGAGAGGAGAGAGAACAUUAUGAAAAACAGCUAAUGCAUGCUGGACUUAAUACUUAGGUGAUGGAUUUAUAGGUGCAGCAAACCACCAUGGCACACAUUUACUUACAUAACAAACCUGCAUAUCCUGCACAUGUACUCCAGAACUAAAAAUAAAAAGAAAAAAACAAAAACAAACAAACAAAAAUUCCCAAUUGUUUACAUCGAAUUAAUAAUUACCAGGCAUGCCAAUUAUCACUAGGGAUAAAGAAAAACAUAAACUAUAAUAGGAAAAAAGCAAUCAACCAAAAUAAACACAGAUCUAGAUACAUGGAAGAAAUAACAGACAAAACAGUGAUUACAACUGUAUUGCUUACAGACAAAAAAGUUAAACAGAGACACAAAAGAUGGUUUUAAAAAACAAAUAGAACAUCAAGAGAUGAGAACUACAGUUUCUGAGAUGAAAAAACUUCACUGGAUGAGAUUCACAGAAGAUUGAACAUAAGAAAAGAAAAAAAGUAGUGAAUUUUCAGAUAGAGUAAUAGGCACUAUCCAAAAUGUAAUAUAUAGAGAAAAUAGAUGUUUAUAAAAAUGAACAAAACAUCAGUGUACUAUUGGACAGCUUCAAGUGGAUUUAUUUAUGUUUAAUCAGAAUCACUCAGAAGGAUGAGAGUGGGAAGGGGCAGAGAAAAUAUUUGAAAAAAUGAUGACUAAAAUUAUUUCAAGUUUGAUGAAAGUUUCAAACCCACACAGCACAAUCAAAUUAUUCAAAACCUGUGAUAAAGGGAAAGUCUUAAAAGCACUCUGAUAGAAAACACAUGCUAUACAUAGAAGAGCAAAAAUAAAGAUAACAGUAGAUUCCAUAUUAGGAACAAUGCAAGAGAGAAGGCAAUUUUUAUUUAUGGUGAUUUUAGAACACUCAACAAAUUAGAAAUAGAAGGAAAUUCCUCAACCUUAUAAAGAGCAUCGAUGAACAACCUACAUCUAACCUCACACAUGAUGAUGAAAGACCAAAUAAUUUCUCCCCAAGAUAAGAAAAAAGAAAAGGAUGUCUGUUCUCACCAGUUCAAGUCAACAUUGUACUGGAUGUUCUAGUCAAUGCAAUAAGGCAAGAAAAAGGAAUAAAAGUUAUCCAGAUUGAAAAGGUUGAAGUAGAUUAUUUUUUUUCAAAUGAUAUGGCCCUUUAUGUAGAAAAUAUAAUGACAUCUACAAAAAAAACUACUUGAAUGAAUAAAUGAGUUUAGCAAGGUGGCAUGAUAUAAGAUUGAUGCACAAAUUAAAUUGUAUUUCUAUAUCGUAUCAACAAACAAUUAGAAAUUGAAAUAAGACAAUGCCACUUACAAUAGUAUCAAGAAAUAGGAAAUACAUUUCUUGUAUAAAUCUGACAAAAUACGUGAAAGACCUAUACACUGAAAACUGCAAAACAUUGCCUAAAAACAAUUAAAGACCUAAAUUAAUAGAGAUACAUUAUCGUUCAUGAGUUGAAAGACUCAAUAUUUUUACAAUUGCAAUUCUUUCUAAAUUGAUCUGUAGAUUCAACACAAUCCCAAUCAAAAUUUCAGCAGACAUUUUAAUAAAAAUUGGCAAAUUGAUUCUAAAGUCAUAUGGAUGGCAUUCAACCAAGGUGGAAAGCAAAUAAAUAAAUAAUCAUACGGAAAUGCAAAGGACUUAGAAUAGCCAAAAUAAUUUUGAGAAAAAAACAAUAUAGAGGACUGACACUACUUGGUGUCAAGACUUUAAUUAUAAAGUUACAGAAAUCAGGACAGUGAGAUAUUGUCAUUAAUACAGACAAACAGAUCAAUGGAAUAGAAUAAAGUGCCCAGAAAUAGACCAACACAUAUAUACACAACUAAUUGCUGAUAGAGGUACAAAGGCAAUUCAGUGGGGGAAAGAAUAGUUAAGUCUGCUCUAACAAAUUAGCACAAGCUGGGUGAUUUAUAAAGAAUAAAAAGUUACUUCUUGUAGUUACAGAGGCUGGAGGUCUGAGAUCAGGAUGCCAGCAUGGUUGGAUUCUGCUGAGUGCCCUCUUCCAGGCUUCCGAUUGCUGUCUUCUUGAUUAAAAUUCUAUUGCAUAGCAAUAAGGGAAUUGUAGCCUCCUCAACUUGACCCCGCUGGUGCCCAGAAUUCUAGCGACCAAGAGUGAAAUAAGCAAGAUGACCCUGGAAAUUGUGGGUAGGAGCCAGAGAACAAUGGAGAAGCCACACUGACUUACUUAGAUGAGGACGUGAGACAUGCUGUCUUUUCCCCAAAUACUGCAGGAAGGUAACCACUGUGGGAGAGGAGAUACAUUCUCUUAUUGUAUCUUUCUCUUUCCUGGAAAAGUUUUUGAAUAUAAUAGCAGGUUAUCAUAUUUCAAAUGGAUUAGGCACCCUAUUUUCUAUAUGCAUGGGAAAGGAUUAGACAACCUCCUGGAACUUAUUUUUAAAUUGGUAAUUUU